CGCGAGAGCGGAGGAAGCCCCACCGCCGACCCCAUCGCGCGCUCGCGGAAGCGUCGUCCCUCCUCCGCUGCCUCCCCCCUCCCCUCCCAUAGCCCCCCACAUUCAGCGAAGCUAUCUCAGUCCCGGUCUCCCCGUCAAGAUCACAGGCACAGCAAUCGUUCGAGGUCGAUCCCAAUCUUGGCGUCGCUGACCUGUCGUCGUGGUCCUAGUGGUGGCGGUGGACGUGACGGAGUGUGAGUAGUGCUUAUGGUCUCUAUGAUGAGGCUCGUGAGUCGUUGCUGGAAGCCGGCGGUAGAGGUUCGGGAUGGUGGAUCAGUCAGCGGCGACGAUCGCCUCCUUUGGUACAAGAAUCUCGGCCACCAUGCGGUCGGGGAGUUCUCUAUGGCGGUGGCGCAGGCGAAUGCUCUGUUGGAGGAUGGAAGCCAGAUCGAGUCGGGCCCCUUGAGCUGGAGGGAGGACACGCGUGGCACGUUCGUCGGGGUCUACGACGGGCACGGCGGGCCGGAGACGUCGCGGUACAUAACGGAGCGUUUAUUUGCUAACCUCAAAAGGUUUGCUUCAGAACAUGAAGGUAUUUCAGUAGAUGUCAUAAGGAAGGCAUUUUCAGCCACGGAAGAGGGUUUCAUCUCUACUGUUAGAAAGCAGUGGCUCAAUAAACCACAGAUUGCCUCGGUUGGUUCGUGUUGUUUGGUUGGUAUUGUAUCUAGCGGGAUGCUCUAUGUGGCAAAUGUUGGAGAUUCACGUGCAGUACUAGGAAGAAUUGAGAGAGGUAUUAGAGAUGUUACGGCAGUACAAAUGUCUGCAGAACACAAUGCGAGCUUUGAAGCUGUGAGGGAGGAAUUGCAUUCAUUGCAUCCCGAUGACCCACAGAUUGUUGUUUUGAAGCAUAAGGUUUGGCGUGUGAAAGGUCUUAUACAGGUUUCUAGAUCCAUCGGAGAUGCAUAUCUAAAAGAUACAGAGUUCAACCGUGAGCCAUUGAUAUCCAGAUUCCGACUUCCUGAUCCCUUCCAUAAGCCGAUCCUUAGUCAUGAACCAUCAAUAGUAACACAUAAACUCUCUCCUGAAGAUCAAUUUUUGAUUUUUGCAUCAGAUGGUCUAUGGGAGCAUUUCAGCAAUCAAGAGGUUGUGGAUAUGAUUCACAACUCACCGCGUAAUGGUAUUGCAAGAAAACUUGUGAAAGCUGCACUGCAAGAGGCUGCAAAGAAAAGAGAAAUGAGGUACGCUGACCUCACAAAGAUUGAUCGUGGAGUUAGGAGGCAUUUCCAUGAUGAUAUAACUGCCAUAGUUAUAUUUCUUGAUCCUAAUCUGAUAAGCAAAAACUUCUAUCAUGGUCCCGUACUUUCACUCAAAGGAGUUGGUGUUCCUGUAUAAGCAGACGUUAGCCCAGAGGCUCCAGACGCUUCAUCCCGGGUCUCCUCAGGCCUGAUUCAAAAUCUUUCCUUACUCUACUAGCAUGAAUCUGUUUUCAGGUUCUCACAUGGUCCUAGUGGUCCAAAGCAAGAAGGACAGGAACCACAUUCUUUAAUUUAACUUGAGAGCUUGCAGUUUUGCACUGAAAAUAGAUAAGUAUUAGCUAUUACAGAACACUUUGGUUUGCCUUGACAGUCAAAGGGUUGGCUUCAAAUGUGUCAAAAUCUAGUUCGAAGUCACAGCCUCUGUUCUGCAGUGUGGCUGUUCAAGCUUUUCAUUAUUCUUUUUCUCUUGAGGCUCGAGGGUGAGAAGAUGAAGUUUGAUCCAACUUCCUAGGUUUAUCGUCUUAUUCCUUCCUUUUAGGAUAAAGGGUCAUACUAGGGAAGUUCUACAUCAUUUCAUAUUUGGAUCGACAGAUUUUUAAUGCCUUCCAUUUAAUCCUUUGUAAUGAUCCAACAGAAUCUGUGAACCAGUCCUUAAAUAAUCCAACAAUGGUACCACGUCAGUUUUUUUUCGAAAAUAAAAAAAAUUCUGGUUGUUCUAGAAAGGAGCUUGUACAAGCUCAUUGUAGGGUUUCUAUAGACCUGAAACAUUAAAGAUAUCACAUAUAA
RNA transcript from Zingiber officinale, 2021 nucleotides. It is a transcript of the gene named probable protein phosphatase 2C 60, with no coding region annotated. The transcript is spliced from 5 exons. Lineage: Eukaryota; Viridiplantae; Streptophyta; Magnoliopsida; Zingiberales; Zingiberaceae. The record is from RefSeq and is a predicted model, not a curated record.